AUGGCCGCGGUAUCCUGACCGUGCGAAGGUAGCAUAAUCAUUAGUCUCUUAAUUAGAGGCUGGUAUAACGGUUUAACAGAAAGUAACUGUCUCUUAUAUAAAAUUUGAACUUUAUUUUUAGGUAAAAAGCCUAAAUAAAUCUGGAGGACGAUAAGACCCUAUAGAGCUUCAUUUAUUUUAUAUUUUUUAGACCUAGUACUAAUAAAAUAAAUAAAAAAAUAAAUUUGUGGGGCGACAAAAAGACAAUAAUAACUCUUUCUUAUAUUAACAGAAAAAACUGAAAGAUUGAUCCUUAAAGAAAGAUCAUAUGAACAAGUUACCUUAGGGAUAACAGCGUAAUCCUUUUUGAGAGUUCACAUCGACAAAAGGGUUUGCGACCUGAUGUUGGAUUAAG
RNAcentral lists this ribosomal RNA (394 nucleotides) under Eocyzicus sp. Eo24. RNAcentral describes it as "partial 16S ribosomal RNA". It matches the Rfam family "Bacterial large subunit ribosomal RNA", at positions 1927 to 2541 of the family's 2925-position model. The record is from RNAcentral. Lineage: Eukaryota; Metazoa; Arthropoda; Branchiopoda; Diplostraca; Eocyzicidae.